UGGGGAAUCUUGCGCAAUGGGCGAAAGCCUGACGCAGCAACGCCGCGUGUGUGAUGAAGGUCUUCGGAUCGUAAAGCACUGUCGGGAGGGACGAAUAAGGCGGCGGCUAACAUCCGCAGCCGAUGACGGUACCUCCAAAGGAAGCACCGGCUAACUCUGUGCCAGCAGCCGCGGUAAUACAGAGGGUGCUAGCGUUGUUCGGAAUUAUUGGGCGUAAAGCGCGUGUAGGCGGCUCCGCAAGUUGGGUGUGAAAGCCCUCGGCUUAACCGAGGAAGUGCGCCCAAAACUACGAAGCUUGAGUACCGGAGAGGGUGGCGGAAUUCCCGGUGUAGAGGUGAAAUUCGUAGAUAUCGGGAGGAACACCAGCGGCGAAGGCGGCCACCUGGACGGAUACUGACGCUGAGACGCGAAAGCGUGGGUAGCAAACAGG
Molecule: ribosomal RNA, 430 nt
Filed under: uncultured bacterium
Lineage: Bacteria
Description: bacterial SSU rRNA
Rfam family: Bacterial small subunit ribosomal RNA
Source: RNAcentral